Callithrix jacchus (white-tufted-ear marmoset) is the source of this 3623-nucleotide non-coding RNA. Lineage: Eukaryota; Metazoa; Chordata; Mammalia; Primates; Cebidae. The record is from RefSeq and is a predicted model, not a curated record.
UCCCAACCUUUAAGAAGCACACACACUUUUAAAUCAAUGCCUCCCAACCCCACGGCUUCUGUGAAUCACUCACACUUCCUAUGUAUGUACAGUAGCCUCUGAACAAAAACGUCUGAGCAUCUUUGUUCAGAGGCUACUUGACACACACACACAACCGAUCAGAGUUCAAAGGAGGGGCAAGCAUUGGUAUUCACUGCAGAAGAUGCCUCCUCGCUCUCAGAGCAAGACUGUGAGUGCUGAGACUGCUGGAUUUCUCCCAGUACUGCCGUUACUCUCCUUUCUUUAACCAGCGCUAACUUGAAACCCAAGCACAACAGGAGAAAGGAAGUUAUGAACACUCUGCCCAAAGAAGUCCUCAGAGUGCACCAUCAACCCUAUGUCAGGUCACAGGAGGGAGAACUGUAAGUGCAGAGGCUGGUUGUAUCUGGUGUGGCUGGGAGAACAGGCUCCUCAUUUCCUGAGUCUGACUUAGAGAGCUGGACUGACACCUGCUUGAGUUUAAGCUGAGUUGAUGGUAAAUGAGCUCAAUCCAAGGCUCUUGUGAGUUUUCAGUUAUGGGGGAGGAGAAAGUGAUUGAAGGUGACCUCUACAUUUCAAUGCAGAGUGCCAGUACCAAUGUUUUUGGGGUAUGCUGGCAUCCUUAGAGAAAUUCAUUGAUUUUCCUUUUUCCCUCUGUGGUGUAAAGCGAUGUCCAGAGAUGGAAAGGGCAAGGCAAAUGAACAAGCGAUUGCAGCCAACUCUGACGAAUAAUGUUCUGGAACAUACGGGAUCCUGUAGACUGGGUCAGGUGACGGAGGUGUGGAAUGCAACAGGAACCGGGGAAGGAUGCAGUGGUGACUGGGGAAGAUGGCCAGGUUAGCGGAGGCGGACUCUGCACUUCAUAGAACCUUCACAGGAAGGAGUCUGCCCCUGUUGCCGUGUGGGUGAAGAAUGGAUCUGAGGGGGCGCCCUAAGACCCAGGGAGACCCCCUUUCAGAGCACUUCAGCACUCCCUGGAAAUGACAACAGGCUGAAAUCAAGCCCAGGUGAGGGAGGAGAAGAGAAGCGGUCAGCUUGGAUGACCACUUGGUAAUGACAAGUGAUUGUCCUUGAUUGAUUUGUAAGAGAUGGCAAAGAGGAAAAGCCAUGAAUCAGUCAGUUAUGCUGUGUUACAAAAGACCCCAAAAUGUAGUGGCUAGAAAUAACAGCCAUUUGUUAUGUUUAUGAUUACGUGAGCCAGCAAUUUGGGCUAAAACCCGUCUAGUGCUCCUUCUGUCUCUUCUGAGCUCCCUCUUGUCUGCAGUCAACUGUAGGCAUGGCCAGCGCUUUGAUGAUGUUUCCUGGGUCUUGUUAAUGUAUCUGGGGUCCUAGGUGGAAUGGCUCAUCUCAGCUUCAUGUGGGUUCUGACAUCCCUCCAGGAAGCCAGGCCAGGUUUCAUCACAUGGGGACCAGGCAGGAUACCAACAUCACGAAGAGAAGCGUGCCUGGGCUUAGAGCCAUCACAUCUUCACUCCUGUGGCAUUCUGUUGGCUAAAGCCUGGAUUCUCAGAAUAAAGAUGCGGUCCUCCUCUGGAUGGGGAACACUGUGAAGUCCUAUUGUGCAGUGUGUGCACGCAGGGAGGGGAAGAAUACAGGGCUAUCUCUCUCAGGAGGCAGGAUGCGGCAGGUGGCAGCACCAGCUGUAGAGCAGCUUCUUGCGAUCAGUGACAAUACUCUUUCCCCCAGCAUGGCAGCCUCAUUCAUGGAGCAGCCUCGUGUCCCUCAGCUGUGUCAUGCCACGUAGCAGCCCAGUUGUUCAACCCGGUCUGAAGAAAGGCAUGCAUGGAAAGGGUGGCUAUUUCAAAUGGAAACAGUGAUUUCUUCCUUUUUUACCCUAUGGAAGUGUCGAUUUUUGUCACAUCAAGGUCGUUCUUGUUCUUUGUGCAGGAGUACCGAAGCUCUGGGAUGAUUUGCCGUCGAGGCAUUGAAGAUGCAUAGUCUGGCAAUAUGGUGGCAAAAAUCGGGUCUCCCAUUGUAUCCGUGGUGGUGGUGACACUGCUGGGAGCAGCAGCCAGUUAUUUCAGACUCAACAGUAGGAGGAAUUGUUUCAGGACCAGUGAACCAGAAAAUGUCUGAAGAUGUUAAGAUCCCCUGAUUACUUUGAGAAAAACUCAAGCAAAACAAGAACCCUGUUUAUCACUGUUGUAGAAAUUUCCUUUUAUUCUUGACACAAUUUGAUGAGCUAAAGUGUGUUUUCUUCUGUGUGAAGUACAUGAGCUGCCUCACUCAUUGGAUGUGAUGUGGUUAUAAAGAUGAGUUAGGCAGCUAGACCCUGCAUUGUAAAAAGAAAUUGCUUUCUCUGUCAGUUUGUCAUUCAUUCACACAGAGAGACUGUGGCUCUCUAUUCCAAAAACUUCAGGUACUUCAUGGUGCAGUAACGCACACAUGCUUCACCACGGUGAUGUGACACAGCAGGAAGCAGGAGGGAGGCACAGGAUCUUGGUGGGUAGGGGAUGUUAUCAGCUUCUCAGAAGUGAAGAAUACUGUUGAGGUUCCAAGGAUGCUGGACCUACGCUAAAUUCUUCAGUGAUGUCCAAAAUCAUGGGGCAUUCGUCACUGCUAAUGAAGUGGGUAUGAAUUAUUUCUGACACCCACAAGCAAGGUUUGAACCUCCUUUCAGCUCUGUUGUAUCUGAACGUAAAGUUAUUAUUACUUGAGAAAAUAAGGCUGCAUUUUGAAAUGUUCGGUGCAGAACGACUUAUGUUAAAACCAUCUGGGGGAAAUCCUGGGAUACUUUUUCCCAGGAAAUCAUAUAGUUUUGCUGUGUUUCGGCACAUAGGAGACAGAAAUGGCGAUUAUCAGAAGUAUUUUCAGUCUUUGAAAUUCUGUAAGUACUGGUUCCUAGGACAACAACAUUGUUUUCCUUGCUUUAAACUUUUUCAGUUCACCAGAGUAGGAAGUCUUAAAUCCCCAGACGUCCAGGAAGAUGCCAGCUAUUUGCUUCUCUUUUAGAAACACUUGUGGGCAGAGGGAAAAGGGUGGUUUGGGCCUAUUUGCACAGAUUGAUUAAACUACAGUUAAUGUUCAUAAAACAUUUAGAUCUUGCCCUAAAUAUCAGAACCAAAGAUUUAGAUGUUCAUGUACACUCUGGAAUGUACAUACAGGACCCAUCAAAAUUUCCAGUAUUCAUGCUUUGUGCUCCCCAUUAUGAAUUGGGGUCUUCAAAGAGGGAAGGGUGAAAGUGGAAGCCACUUGAAAGAGCUCCCCAAUUUGUAAAAUACCUUCAACUAAGAAUUCACAUUAGGUAACUCAGAGUUGUGUGUCAAAUUGUGGAUUCAUGCAUAACGCGUGCAAUUUGAAGACAGCCCGUAUUUCCUAUCUCAGUAUUCGGUCCUGCAACACUUUUUAAUUGUCGUAGAAGUUCUCUUGUAGAAAUGGUGAGGUCUGAUGCUUCAUUACUAUUUUCUCUAUAAGAAUUUCAACAUGAGCUUAAUUAAAUUCUUGUGAAAAAGUCUUCGUGUUUUUAGUUACACACACACACACACCUACUUAAAUGGAAUGUAAACAUUUUUAGCCUUUAAUCCAUUCCAUUUUCUAAACUGUCAUAAACCAUUUUUAAUCAUUUUAAAUAAAGGUAAGAGAAAAAAUACUGGAUUUGAUUGUUG